UGAGGUUAAGUUAACAAGGGCGCAUGGUGAAUGCCUUGGCACUAGGAGCCGAUGAAGGACGGGACUAACACCGAUAUGCUUCGGGGAGCUGUACGUAAGCUAUGAUCCGGAGAUUUCCGAAUGGGGCAACCCAGCAGUUUUAAUCAACUGUUACCACUAGAUGAAUUCAUAGUCUAGUUGGAGGUAAACGCUGUGAACUGAAACAUCUCAUUAGCAGCAGGAAUAUAAAGAAAUUUCGAUUCCCUAAGUAGCGGCGAGCGAACGGGGAACAGCCCAAACCAAAGUGCUUGCACUUUGGGGUUGUAGGACUGAACAUUUGAGUUACCAAAGAACUUGAUAGUCGAAGGAUUUGGGAAAAUCCGCCAUAGAUGGUGAUAGCCCAGUAGAUUAAAUCAAAUUCUCUCAGUUCAGGAUCCUGAGUACGGCGGAACACGUGAAAUUCCGUCGGAAUCCGGGAGGACCAUCUCCCAAGGCUAAAUACUACCUAGUGACCGAUAGUGAACCAGUACCGUGAGGGAAAGGUGAAAAGCACCCCGGGAGGGGAGUGAAAUAGUUCCUGAAACCAUGUGCCUACAAUAAGUCAGAGCGCGUUAAUGCGUGAUGGCGUGCCUUUUGUAGAAUGAACCGGCGAGUUAUGAUCCCGUGCAAGGUUAAGACUAAAAAGUCGGAGCCGUAGCGAAAGCGAGUCUGAAAUGGGCGUUUUGAGUACGAGGUUAUAGACCCGAAACCAGGUGACCUAUCCAUGUCCAGGUUGAAGGUGCGGUAAAACGCACUGGAGGACCGAACCCGUGUAAGUUGAAAAUUGCUGGGAUGAGGUGUGGAUAGCGGUGAAAUUCCAAACGAACUUGGAGAUAGCUGGUUCUCUCCGAAAUAGCUUUAGGGCUAGCCUCGGAAUUAGGAUCAUGGAGGUAGAGCACUAUUUGGACUAGGGGCCCGUCUUGGGUUACUGAAUUCAGAUAAACUCCGAAUGCCAUUGAUUCAUAUCCGGGAGUCAGACGAUGAGUGAUAAGAUCCACCGUCGAAAGGGGAACAGCCCAGACCAUCAGUUAAGGUCCCUAAAUGUAUGCUAAGUGGAAAAGGAUGUGGAGUUGCAUAGACAACUAGGAUGUUGGCUCAGAAGCAGCCACCAUUUAAAGAGUGCGUAAUAGCUCACUAGUCGAGUGAUCCUGCGCCGAAAAUGUACCGGGGCUAAGCAUACUACCGAAACCAUGGAUGCGACCAUUAGGUCGCGUGAUAGGAGAGCGUUCUAAGGGCGGUGAAGCAAGAUCGUGAGGACUUGUGGAGCGCUUAGAAGUGAGAAUGCCGGUAUGAGUAGCGAAAGAUAGGUGAGAAUCCUAUCCACCGAAUGACUAAGGUUUCCUGGGGAAGGCUCGUCCUCCCAGGGUUAGUCGGGACCUAAGUCGAGGCCGAGAGGCGUAGACGAUGGAUAACAGGUUGAGAUUCCUGUACUAGUUAAGUGCGUUUGAGCAAUGGAGGGACGCAGGAGGCUAAGAUGUGCAUUCUGUUGGAUUAGAAUGUCCAAGCAGUAAGUCUUGUGAAGAGUCAAAUGCUUUUCACUUUAAGGACAAGCUGUGAUGGGGAGCGAAAUUUAGUAGCGAAGCGUCUGAUGUCACACUGCCGAGAAAAGCUUCUAGUGAGUACUUAACUACCCGUACCGCAAACCGACACAGGUAGUCGAGGAGAGAAUCCUAAGGUGAGCGAGUGAACUCUCGUUAAGGAACUCGGCAAAAUGACCCCGUAACUUCGGGAGAAGGGGUGCUGAUCGCAAGAUCAGCCGCAGUGAAUAGGCCCAGGCGACUGUUUAUCAAAAACACAGGUCUCUGCAAAAUCGUAAGAUGACGUAUAGGGGCUGACGCCUGCCCGGUGCUGGAAGGUUAAAAGGAUGGGUUAGCUUCGGCGAAGCUCAGAAUUGAAGCCCCAGUAAACGGCGGCCGUAACUAUAACGGUCCUAAGGUAGCGAAAUUCCUUGUCGGGUAAGUUCCGACCCGCACGAAAGGCGUAACGAUCUGGGCACUGUCUCAACGAGAGACUCGGUGAAAUUAUAUUGUCCGUGAAGAUGCGGACUACCCGCGACAGGACGGAAAGACCCCAUGGAGCUUUACUGUAGCUUGAUAUUGAGUGUUUGUACAGCUUGUACAGGAUAGGUAGGAGCCAUAGAAACCGGAACGCUAGUUUCGGUGGAGGCGUUGGUGGGAUACUACCCUCGCUGUAUGACCACUCUAACCCGCACCACUAAUCGUGGUGGGAGACAGUGUCAGGUGGGCAGUUUGACUGGGGCGGUCGCCUCCUAAAAAGUAACGGAGGCGCCCAAAGGUUCCCUCAGAAUGGUUGGAAAUCAUUCGCAGAGUGUAAAGGCACAAGGGAGCUUGACUGCGA
This 2376-nucleotide ribosomal RNA is filed under the name Lactiplantibacillus plantarum. RNAcentral describes it as "bacterial LSU rRNA". It matches the Rfam family "Bacterial large subunit ribosomal RNA", at positions 1 to 2378 of the family's 2925-position model. The record is from RNAcentral. Lineage: Bacteria; Bacillati; Bacillota; Bacilli; Lactobacillales; Lactobacillaceae.